GAAAGCUGACUAUCGGACGUGGUGGUGUGACAUGUCCGUUGCAGAAGCAUCCGAGAAAGUCAGCGUAAUAUAAUUCAUCCAACUGUGAGCAAGAGUCAGUUUCGGGAUUAAGAGCCCUCAACAAAUACAACAACGAGCUAUAUUCAAGUUGUAGCACAAAGUUCGUACAGCCGUGAUUAUUCCCGAACACCUAUGCAGUGAGAAAUGCCUGAAAAGUUAAUGGUACGCUAAAAUCCCAUAAAUAUCGAUGUAAUGGAUAGAUUUUCCCAUACAGGCUUUGUGGCAACUGCCAUGUAGCUUCGUAUUGCAUGAUGGAACAAGGAUACUCCUUCGUCAUCAGUGAUGUCACACAUGGCAGAACACUGCUAAAAGAAAGUAGGGGCCUGACGACCAGGACUUCAGAAAAUGUCUAACCCAAGUGUAAUGAAUAUCUCUCACCAUAAAUCAGCAGCCAUGCAUUUCCGAUCACAUAAGUAAUAGAUAUGUUUAUGUUUACUGACCAAAACAAUUAUCGUUGUAAAGUUUUAUUGAAGAUCCACGCAGUGAUAAUUUGUGUAGUCCUUAGAAGGUCUUUGUUACUAAUAUGGCUUGAUAGUUGGCCGUAAAGCAUCACCAAUGGGGCAAGACAA
Molecule: long non-coding RNA, 629 nt
Organism: Daphnia carinata
Lineage: Eukaryota; Metazoa; Arthropoda; Branchiopoda; Diplostraca; Daphniidae
Exons: 3
Source: RefSeq, a predicted model, not a curated record